GCCGCCUUAGCUCAGCUAGUAGAGCACAUCUUUCGUAAAGAUGGGGUCCCCAGUGCAAAUCUGGGAGGCGGCUCCA
RNAcentral lists this transfer RNA (76 nucleotides) under Candidatus Yanofskybacteria bacterium RIFCSPLOWO2_02_FULL_47_9b. RNAcentral describes it as "tRNA-Thr". Lineage: Bacteria; Candidatus Yanofskyibacteriota. The record is from RNAcentral.